AGCGCAGGCGGGAAACUAAGCGGAUCUUAAAAGUGCGGGGCUCAACCCCGUGAUGGGGUCCGAACUGGUUUUCUUGAGUGCAGGAGAGGAAAGCGGAAUUCCCAGUAUAGCGGUGAAAUGCGUAGAUAUUGGGAAGAACACCAGUGGCGAAGGCGGCUUUCUGGACUGUAACUGACGCUGAGGCUCGAAAGCUAGGGUAGCGAAG
RNAcentral lists this ribosomal RNA (205 nucleotides) under uncultured bacterium. RNAcentral describes it as "partial 16S ribosomal RNA". It matches the Rfam family "Bacterial small subunit ribosomal RNA", at positions 568 to 773 of the family's 1533-position model. The record is from RNAcentral.